GUUACUACUAAUCGAACCUACACCAAUGGCCAGUAUAGUCAUUCUUUUACCAUAGUAGACUCAUUAUAGGUUACU
This 75-nucleotide transfer RNA is filed under the name Pinus armandii. RNAcentral describes it as "tRNA-Thr". Lineage: Eukaryota; Viridiplantae; Streptophyta; Pinopsida; Pinales; Pinaceae. The record is from RNAcentral.